Molecule: long non-coding RNA, 809 nt
Organism: Maniola jurtina (meadow brown)
Lineage: Eukaryota; Metazoa; Arthropoda; Insecta; Lepidoptera; Nymphalidae
Exons: 2
Source: RefSeq, a predicted model, not a curated record
UUGUGUUCUGUGAAACUGAAAAAUAGUCUUAUACCGAGUUCUUUAUAGCGAGCUUCGACUUUGCUCAGAUUUAUGAAAGGAUUUUUGUAAAUUCAAUCCCUCAGCAUGGUCCAAUAAAAUACUCUCCUUAUGGGAAUAAAGAGGAAUUUGAAAUUGUAUAGUUCACGCGUACAAAGUCGCGGGCAUAAGCUAGUGAGAUAUAUGAACUCCUUUUUUAUUAGGUACAUAUUUUAAAAACUUUGGAUCAAACUUCUUUCAAUUUACCGUCAAUUUUUUGAAAAGUCAACGUCAAAAACCAUUACUAGGUAUAUAUCUUGAUUUCGACCAUUUCAACUUAUUAGUUAUCUUGUAGUGCCUAAUAUAGACCGAAUAAAACGUAAUAUUAUUAUGCUAGGCAAGAAUUUAUACACACUGUUAAGAGGCACGAGAGUUCCGAAGUUCCAUGUGCCUAAGAGGAACUGGGCCCAAGUUGGCAUGCACAUAGCAGUUCCAUCCAGAUGUAAAUGUUCCUAUGGGGAAAUGCUCUUGCAUAUAGCAUUCAUGUACACCGUGUGGAUGUCACCAAUAGCGUUCCUCUUGACUCAGCUGAAAGUGUGGCGGCGAGAAUAUAUUCAGAACUAAUUUAAUUCAGCCUGUUCCUCUUGUCCCUACUAAGGUUUCCCCCAUGGUGGGUAAAAAUGGAUUUUUCCCCACUUAUCCCUACUACUAGGGAACUCACCAGGGGACUACUUGGUCAGGUCAAGUGGAACAUGCCUUCAAUAAUUUUAUUAACGGUUCUUGUCGAAUAAAGUAUCGAGAAAUGAAUUGUU